RNAcentral lists this ribosomal RNA (743 nucleotides) under Photobacterium damselae. RNAcentral's name for it is "bacterial SSU rRNA". It matches the Rfam family "Bacterial small subunit ribosomal RNA", at positions 397 to 1138 of the family's 1533-position model. Lineage: Bacteria; Pseudomonadati; Pseudomonadota; Gammaproteobacteria; Vibrionales; Vibrionaceae. The record is from RNAcentral.
CCGCGUGUGUGAAGAAGGCCUUCGGGUUGUAAAGCACUUUCAGUAGGGAGGAAGGUAGUGUAGUUAACACCUGCAUUAUUUGACGUUCCUACAGAAGAAGCACCGGCUAACUCCGUGCCAGCAGCCGCGGUAAUACGGAGGGUGCGAGCGUUAAUCGGAAUUACUGGCGUAAAGCGCAUGCAGGCGGCCUGUUAAGUCAGAUGUGAAAGCCCGGGGCUUAACCUCGGAAUUGCAUUUGAAACUGGCAGGCUAGAGUCUUGUAGAGGGGGGUAGAAUUUCAGGUGUAGCGGUGAAAUGCGUAGAGAUCUGAAGGAAUACCAGUGGCGAAGGCGGCCCCCUGGACAAAGACUGACGCUCAGAUGCGAAAGCGUGGGGAGCAAACAGGAUUAGAUACCCUGGUAGUCCACGCCGUAAACGAUGUCUACUUGGAGGUUGUGGCCUUGAGCCGUGGCUUUCGGAGCUAACGCGUUAAGUAGACCGCCUGGGGAGUACGGUCGCAAGAUUAAAACUCAAAUGAAUUGACGGGGGCCCGCACAAGCGGUGGAGCAUGUGGUUUAAUUCGAUGCAACGCGAAGAACCUUACCUACUCUUGACAUCCAGAGAAGCUUGAAGAGAUUCGAGUGUGCCUUCGGGAACUCUGAGACAGGUGCUGCAUGGCUGUCGUCAGCUCGUGUUGUGAAAUGUUGGGUAAGUCCCGCAACGAGCGCAACCCUUAUCCUUGUUUGCCAGCCUUCGGGUGGAAC